Varanus komodoensis (Komodo dragon) is the source of this 454-nucleotide long non-coding RNA. RefSeq lists it as uncharacterized. The record is from RefSeq and is a predicted model, not a curated record. The transcript is spliced from 2 exons. NCBI's taxonomy places the organism in Eukaryota, Metazoa, Chordata, Lepidosauria, Squamata, Varanidae.
CCGUUCUUGCGGCUGUUGCUUCUGCAAAGGGAAGCAUUUCUGAGCGGAUUGAGAAGCACCUCAAGAUUUUCAAGAGCUCUCCCCACAGAAGAAUCUGGACGCUUCUGAGCAUGGAUUUGACACAAACCAGCAUCUGGAAUCAGCUUUGAGGCUGCGGAGGAGAACAACCUAAGAAUGGCCUCCUCCCAUCUCAUCUCUUAGCUGACAUAUUAGCCAGGGGAUGAUGGGAGUUACAGCCCAACAUGUUGGGCUGUAUCAGCUUAGGAAAGGCCAGACUUGAGACUUUUCCAGUUUUCCUUUCCUGAUCAUACUAUUUAUUUUAUUUAUUUACAUAUAUACUAGGGGGGUUGUGUUAAGUCAACAGAUCUUUGCAAGAUGAUUAUUUUUAUUUUCUUUUGCAGCUAUGUAUUUCUCCCACUGUUAAUUGUUUUAAAUAAACUUUUAUGAACUGAAA